GUCUUUUUGUGUUAAAUAUAAAGUUUAACCUGCCCAUUGAAAAAAUUUAAAAGGSUGCGGUAUAUUGACCGUACAAAGGUAGCAUAAUCAUUAGUUUUUUAAUUGAAAACUCGUAUGAAUGGUUGAAUGAGAAAUUAACUUUUUUUUUAAAAAUAAUAGAAUUUUACUUUUUAGUUAAAAGGCUAAAAUAAUUUUAAAAGACGAGAAGACCCUAUAGAGUUUAAUAAUAUGUUUUUAUUGUAUAGUGUAAAGGUUUAAAAAUAAUUAUUAAAAAUAGAUUUAUUUUAUUGGGGUGAUAAUAAAAUUUAAUUAACUUUUAUUUUUUUUUUAUAGCUAUUUAUAUAUAUAAUUAUUUGAUCCAUUAAUAUUGAUUAAAAAAUUAAAUUACCUUAGGGAUAACAGCGUAAUUUUUUUUUAAGUUCUUAUUAAUAAAAGAUUUUGCGACCUCGAUGUUGGAUUAAGAUUAAAUUUUAGGUGCAGCAGCUUAAAUUUAAAGUCUGUUCAACUUUUAAAUUCUU
Molecule: ribosomal RNA, 518 nt
Filed under: Bradysia hilaris
Lineage: Eukaryota; Metazoa; Arthropoda; Insecta; Diptera; Sciaridae
Description: partial 16S ribosomal RNA
Source: RNAcentral